ACGCACGCUGGCGGCGUGCUUAACACCUGCCAGUCGAACGGAAAGGCCCUGCUUGCCGGGUACUCGAGUGGCGAACGGGUGAGUAACACGUGGGUUAUCUGCCCUGCACUUCGGGAUAAGCCUGGGAAACUGGGUCUAAUACCGGAUAGGAGCCAUUUUUAGUGUGAUGGUUGGAAAGUUUUUUCGGUGUAGGAUGAGCUCGCGGCCUAUCAGCUUGUUGGUGGGGUAAUGGCCUACCAAGGCGGCGACGGGUAGCCGGCCUGAGAGGGUGGACAGCCACAUUGGGACUGAGAUACGGCCCAGACUCCUACGGGAGGCAGCAGUGGGGAAUAUUGCACAAUGGGCGCAAGCCUGAUGCAGCGACGCCGCGUGGGGGAUGACGGCCUUCGGGUUGUAAACUCCUUUCGCUAGGGACGAAGCUUUUUGUGACGGUACCUAGAUAAGAAGCACCGGCUAACUACGUG
This 464-nucleotide ribosomal RNA is filed under the name uncultured bacterium. RNAcentral describes it as "partial 16S ribosomal RNA". It matches the Rfam family "Bacterial small subunit ribosomal RNA", at positions 29 to 507 of the family's 1533-position model. The record is from RNAcentral.